CGCCGAGGAGCACGGGUCGCGUACGGCGCGGGGCAUGGGCAUAGCCGCCGGCAUUGGUGGCAUUUUUGCGUUGGCGUGUGUGGUGGUGCAGUGGUACCUGCAGUCGCGUGGUGGAGGCAGUGCGGCGGGCGGCCGUGGUGACAUCAACGCCGCCAUCAUCAGCCGGUUGCUGUCGGCACCCCAGGGUGAGAACGCUGCGGCGCCCAUGGGCAUGCAGUCGUGUGGAUGCAAGAUGCCAGAAGAGUCUGAUGACGCCCACCCGCGGCUUCGGAUAGCAACGUGUACACAUGCUUGGAAUAAGCCUGGCUGGGCGCUCGGGGUGGCUUGCUGCCCUCUCUGGAGGCGAGGAGCAUGCAUGGGGGUCAUUCGCGGUUCCAACCGCCAUCAUCAACCUAACUCCUCUUAUCUUGACAUCUACAGGCUACACGGUGGCGGAGCCCGAGGACCUGGGCGGCCGGCUCCUGGCCACCGCCGCCGCCACCGGCCGCCCGCUGCAGGAGCCCAAGACAGCCACCGCCGACGCCAUCACCACCGCCGCCGCCGGGCAGCAGCAGCACGCCUCGGCGCAGGGUGCAUUUAACGGUGGCAGCGGCGGCAACGGGGGCAGCGGAAAGUAGUGGGAGGUGGAUGGUGGGCGCGGUGGCGGGCGCAAGCGGGGCGCACACUUACGGUAGUCGGUCAGUCGCGGCGAGGCGGCGUUGAACGAUUAGCCCAGAGAGUCGUGGAUGGCUGAGACGUAUGCGGCAGUCUAUCUGUGCCUCUGUGGCCUAGGUGUGUGAUGGGACAAUAGCAAGGCAAGUUGAUAAAGUCCCGUAGGGUGCAGCUAAUGUGGCCUAGGUAGAAACGAGCAAGGGGAGAUGCGCGAUGCGCUUGUGGGCAGUGGGGUAGUAAGGGGCACGUGGGGUAUUCAUGCCGAGAUAUGUGCGUGGCACAGUUGCUUGACAGUUGCUUGUUACUGUUGGACUUGCUGAGACAAUUGCUCAGGCCGGCAAAAAUACGUCUUACUAGGGCGACUACGUGCGCCUUCGCAACCUAGCACCCUACCAAUCUAGAGCAUUCGCAUCUUUAGAGCACUGUUUUUGAUAGGGCGCCACGCACGCGGGCCAGCUAGGCACUGAUCAGGCGGCAGUUGAAAGGCGUUACUACUGCUGAGAGUGGGCAGGCAGGCAGGCAGGCAGGUGCACUGUGUCGCAUGCCAUUGUGGGCUGGCAUGCCUGUUGCAAAACAUGCCUGCAGCGGGUGGGGUGGGGCGGUAUGUGCCAUGCACGAGGUGAGGCUGCCGCAUGGCUAGCUACAAGAGCGCAGCGCCGGCUCCAUCUAUACUGGCGCUGCUCUUUUUGUUACUCCCUUUUAUUAGUUGCGAGGGGGGGUGCAGGGGGGAGGGUGUCCCUCCCCCCUGCAGGCGUCAAGUUCAGCGGGAUGGGAGGGGGGUGCAGGGGGGAGGGUGUCCCUGCAGACAGCUUUAGCUAGCCGGAACGUUAGUUUGCUGUAGCUGAAAGGAGCUAGCGCUAAAUCCCGGUUCUAGGGUUGUUGCCGAGCGCACGUCGGUGCUGACGCGGAAACCACCUGCGCACAGUCUCGAGCGUUUACAAUCACUCAAAUCUUCCAAGCCCUUGCCGAAGCCUCCUUGUCACUCCUCAGCAUUUCUGCCACUGAAGAAGGCCCGAGCUCGCCCUAAGACCCAGCUAGGUCUUUGAAGUAUCAUACUCAACUUGAACCCAUGGCAAUGCAGCCCGCGGUCGCGGCUUCUUCUGCUGGGCUGGCGCGUUCGACGAGUUCGAUCGGCAGCAUCAGCGCGUACGUUGGAGCAGCAGGAGCGAGCAGGCACGCGAAAGUGGGUUGUUAGGGUUCUGAGCGUGCCAUGUCCGGGCUUGCGGAAGAAAGGAUCGAGCACACCUGCAGAUGAAAUUGGUCGGCACUCGCUUGUUCCUCCAUCUGCCUCCAUAAGCCUGGCUGACUGGCUGACUGGGCCGCAGGUGGCAGCGCUGGCCCGGGCCCUCACGGGCCAUGCGCAGCCGCCAACGGCGGGUGCCGACUCAUCAUCGGUGUCAACGUCGUCGCCCAGCGGCCCCCAACAAGCUGCUGUUGCCGGUGGCGGUGAGCCCGUGGGUGCCACCGGCAAGCCCGGGGUCAGCGGCUUCAGUCCGGUCAGUGCUGAAGAAGUGGAGCUGCUGUUUGCUCCUUGGGUAGUUUGGGCAGGUCAGCUGAAACGCCACGUAAACACUAGGGGCGGCCGAAGCAAUGCGGGGGGGUUGGGCGGGUUGGGCACGGCGGUGGAGUAGGGCCCUUGACCUGUGGGUCUGGGUGGUUUUGGGCACAGACUCUUGUCUUAUGGACCCUGCUUGCUGUUGUUGUUGCCUGUACUAGCCACAACGGCACCCAGGCUACCCAGGCAUGGUCAUGCAACACCCUGCCCGUGCUGCAUCUCAUCGUGCGCGUCUAGCGCGUCACCUACUUCGGCAGCAUUGGCACCACGUUCGUUACUCGGGCUGGAAUAAUGGGGAGGGGGUUUGUAGGUUCCAGCUCAAACAAACCAGGAAGCCAAAGUAGGGGUGCUGGAGGAAGUGGCGGGGAGUUGAUUGCACAUGCACUGCGCCGGUUCCCUGUCUUUCCAUACCCGACGCAAUCGAGGCCUACCCCCUGCUGCCGGCCCGUCGCUGCACGUGCCUGUUGCACAUGCCUACUACGCGUGCUGCUGCAUGCAAAACACACGCACAUCCAGCCAAUCAAUACGCUCGCGCACUACUUGGUGUAUGUGCAUGCGCCUGUCAGUCUAUCAGGUACUACUCCUCUAUGUGCACCUACCUCGUAUGCUACCUACUGCAGGGUGGCGGUGCCUUCGGUAGAAGCAGCAUCGGCAUCCGCAGUGGCGGCUCUGGUGGUGGCUCCAGUGGUGCCAGCAACGCUGGCCCCAGCGCCAGCAGCGGUGGUGGUGGCAGCUGGGGCAGCUGGGCCCUCCUUGUCCAGGUGGGUAGUACCGUCGUCUUGAGGGCGGGAUAUUGAUAGAGUGACUUCAUGCCGUGCCGUUGCAAGUUGUACCUUCAUGCGUGUCGGUGCAAAACAUCUGCUGUCGUCGCUCGGCUGCUGCAGCAUGUUCCACGCACAUGCCAUGCGCGUAUCUGUUAAUCCUAUGCCUAACGGCUGACCACUCCGUCCGCAGACGCUGGUAUGGACCGGGGUUGCUGUGUUUGCGGCCUGGUUCAUUGCUGACAGCGUGGAAGGGGGGCUACAGUCCACCGGCAACAGCGUGCAGGCGGGGCUGCAGUCCGCCGGCAAUAGCGUGCAGGGGGGGCUGAAGGAGGGGCUGACUGAUGCCGCCAAGGAGCACGGGUCGCGUAUGGCGUGGGGCAUGGGCAUAGCCGCCGGCAUUGGUGGCAUUUCUGCGUUGGCGUGUGUGGUGGUGCAGUGGUACCUGCAGUCGCGUUAGUCACGUGGUGGAGGCGGUGCGGCGGGCGGCCGUGGCGACAUCAACGCCGCCAUCAUCAGCCGGUUGCUGUCGGCACCCCAGGGUGAGAACGCUGCGGCGCCCAUGGGCAUGCAGUUGUGUGGAUGCAAGAGGCCAGUAGAGUCGGAUGACGGCUUCGGAUAGCAACGCGUACAUAUGCUUGGAAUGAGCCUGGCUGGGCGCUCGGGGUGGCUUGCUGCCCUCUCUGGAGACGAGGAGCAUGCAUGGGGGUCAUUCGCGGUUCCAACCGCCAUCAUCAACCUAACUCCUCUUAUCUUGACAUCUACAGGCUACACGGUGGCGGAGCCCGAGGACCUGGGCGGCCGGCUCCUGGCCACCGCCGCCGCCACCGGCCGCCCGCUGCAGGAGCCCAAGACAGCCACCGCCGCCGCCAUCACCACCACCGCCGCCGGGCAGCAGCAGCACGCCUCGGUGCAGGGUGCAUUUAACGGUGGCAGCAGCGGCAACGGGGGCAGCGGAAAGUAGUGGGAGGUGGAUGGUGGGCGCGGUGGCGGGCGCAAGGGGGGCGCACACUUACGGUAGUCGGUCAGUCGCGGCGAGGCGGCGUUGAACGAUUAGCCCAGAGAGUCGUGGAUGGUUGAGACGUAUGCGGCAGUCUAUCUGUGCCUCUGUGGCCUAGGUAGAAAGGAGCGAGGGGAGAUGCGCUUGUUGGGGGGGUAGUAAGGGGCACGUGGGGUAAUCAUGCCGAGAUGUGUGCGUGGCACAGUUGCUUGACAGUUGCUUGUUACUGUUGGACUUGCUGAGACAAUUGCUCAGGCCGGCAAUAAUACGUCUUACUAGGGCGACUACGUGCGCCUUCGCAACCUAGCACCCUACCAAUCUAGAGCAUUCACAUCUUUAGAGCAUUGUUUUUGAUAGGGCGCCACGCACGCGGGCCAGCUAGGCACUGAUCAGGCGGCAGUUGAAAGGCGUUACUACUGCUGAGAGUGGGCAGGCAGGCAGGUGCACUGUGCCGCAUGCCAUUGUGGGCUGGCAUGCCUGUUGCAAAACAUGCCUGCAGCGGGUGGGGUGGGGCGGUAUGUGCCAUGCACGAGGUGAGGCUGCCGCAUGGCUAGCUACAAGAGCGCAGCGCCCGCUCCAUCUAUACCGGCGCUGCUCUUUUUGUACCUCCCUUUUAUAGUUGCGAGGGGGGGUGCAGGGGGGAGGGUGUCCCUCCCCCCUGCAGGCGUCAAGUUCAGCGGGAUGGGAGGGGGUUGCAUGGGGGAGGGUGUCCCUGCAGACAGCUUUAGCUAGCCGGAACGUUAGUUUGCUGUAGCUGAAAGGAGCUAGCGCUAAAUCCCGGUUCUAGGGUUGUUGCCGAGCGCACGUCGGUGCUGACGCGGAAACGACCGCACAGUCUCAAGCGUUUACAAACACUCAAAUCUUCCAAGCCCUUGCGGAAGCCUCCUUGUCACUCCUCAGCAUUUCUGCCACUGAAGAAGGCCCGAGCUCGCCCUAAGACCCAGCUAGGUCUUUGAAGUAUCAUACUCAACUUGAACCCAUGGCAAUGCAGCCCGCGGUCGCGGCUUCUUCUGCUGGGCUGGCGCGUUCGACGAGUUCGAUCGGCAGCAUCAGCGCGUACGUUGGAGCAGCAGGAGCGAGCAGGCACGCGAAAGUGGGUUGUUAGGGUUCUGAGCGUGCCAUGUCCGGGCUGGCGGAAGAAAGGAUCGAGCACACCUGCAGAUGAAAUUGGUCGGCACUCGCUUGUUCCUCCAUCUGCCUCCAUAAGCCUGGCUGACUGGCUGACUGGGCCGCAGGUGGCAGCGCUGGCCCGGGCCCUCACGGGCCAUGCGCAGCCGCCAACGGCGGGUGCCGACUCAUCAUCGGUGUCAACGUCGUCGCCCAGCGGCCCUCAGCAAGCUGCUGUUGCCGGUGGCGGUGAGCCUGUGGGUGCCACCGGCAAGCCCGGGGUCAGCGGCUUCAGUCAGGUCAGUGCUGAAGAAGUGGAGCUGCUGUUUGCUCCUUGGGUAGUUUGGGCAGGUCAGCUGAAACGCCACGAAAACACCAUCCAGGGGCGGCCGAAGCAAUGCGUGGGGCGGGUUGGGCACGGCGGUGGAGUCGGGCCCUUGACCUGUGGGUCUGGGUGGUCUUGGGCACAGAUAUUUGUCUUUUAGGACCCUGCUUGCUGUUGUUGUUGCCUGUAGCCCUGUGCUAGCCAUAACGGCACCCAGGCGACCCAGGCAUGGUCAUGCAACACCCUGCCCGUGAUGCAUCUCAUCGUGCGCGUCUAGCACGUCACCUACUUCGGCAGCAUUGGCACCACGUUCGUUAUUCGGGCUGGAAUAAUGGGGAGGGGGUUUGUAGGUUCCAGCUCAAACAAACCAGGAAGCCAAAGUAGGGGUGCUGGAGGAAGUGGCGGGGCGGAUUUAGAGUUGAUUGCACAUGCACUGCGCCGGUUCCCUGUCUUUCCAUACCCAACACAAUCGAGGCCUACCCCCUGCUGCCGGCCCGUCGCUGCACGUGCCUGUUGCACAUGCCUACUACGUGUGCUGCUGCAUGCAAUACACACACACACACACACACACACACACACACACACACACACACACACACGCACACGCACACGCAUGCGCACGCGCACGCGCACGCGCACGCGCACGCGCACGCGCACGCACACGCACACGCACACGCACACGCACACGCACACGCACACGCACACGCACACGCACACACACACACACACACACACACACACACACACACACACACACACACACACACACACACACAUCCAGCCAAUCGGUGUAUGUGCGCCUGUCAGUCUAUCAGGUACUACUCCUCUAUGUGCACCUACCUCGUAUGCUACCUACUGCAGGGUGGCGGUGCCUUCGGUGGAAGCAGCAACGGCAUCCCCAGUGGCGGCUCUGGUGGCGGCUCCAGUGGUGCCGGCAACGCUGGCCCCAGCGCCAGCAGCGGUGGUGGUGGCAGCUGGGGCAGCUGGGUAAGCUGGGCCCUCCUUGUCCAGGUGGGUAGUACCGUUGUCUUGAGGGCGGGAUAUUGAUAGAGUGACUUCAUGCCGUGCCGUUGCAAGUUGUACCUUCAUGCGUGUCGGUGCAAAACAUCUGCUCUAGUCGGCUGCUGCAGCAUGUUCCACGCGCAUGCCAUGCACGUAUCUGUUAUAUAAUCCUAUGUCUAAUUAGGUAGCCCACCCUUCACGCUGUCUCCAAUAAUCCAGGCCGUAAACACAGCAACCCCGGUCCAGACCAGCGUCUAACGGCUGACCACUCCGUCCGCAGACGCUGGUCUGGACCGGGGUUGCUGUGUUUGCGGCCUGGUUUAUUGGAGACAGCGUGAAGGGGGGGCUGCAGUCCGCCGGCAAUAGCGUGCAGGAGGGGCUGACUGAUGCCGCCAAGGAGCACGGGUCGCGUACGGCUUGGGGCAUGGGCAUAGCGGCCGGCAUUGGUGGCAUUUUUGCGUUGGCGUGUGUGGUGGUGCAGUGGUACCUGCAGUCGCGUUAGUCACGUGGUGGAGGCGGUGCGGCGGGCGGCCGUGGCGACAUCAACGCCGCCAUCAUCAGCCGGUUGCUGUCGGCACCCCAGGGUGAGAACGCUGCGGCGCCCAUGGGCAUGCAGUCGUGUGGAUGCAAGAGGCCAGUAGAGUCGGAUGACGCCCACCCGCGGCUUCGGAUAGCAACGUGUACACAUGCUUGGAAUAAGCCUGGCUGGGCGCUCGGGGUGGCUUGCUGCCCUCUCUGGAGGCGAGGAGCAUGCAUGGGGGUCAUUCGAGGUUCCAACCGCCACCAUCAACCUAACUCCUCUUAUCUUGACAUCUACAGGCUACACGGUGGCGGAGCCUGAGGACCUGGGCGGCCGGCUCCUGGCCACCGCCGCCGCCACCGGCCGCCCGCUGCAGGAGCCCAAGACAGCCACCGCCGACGCCAUCACCACCACCGCCGCCGGGCAGCAGCAGCACGCCUCGGUGCAGGGUGCAUUUAACGGUGGCAGCAGCGGC
This 7396-nucleotide long non-coding RNA is filed under the name Chlamydomonas reinhardtii. RNAcentral's name for it is "long non-coding RNA (CREI_LNC001164)". The record is from RNAcentral. Lineage: Eukaryota; Viridiplantae; Chlorophyta; Chlorophyceae; Chlamydomonadales; Chlamydomonadaceae.